GACGAACGCUGGCGGCGUGCCUAACACAUGCAAGUCGAACGGUGAAGCGCCUUCCUUUUUGGUGGGUGUGGGUGAGUGGCGAACGGGUGAGUAACACGUGAGUAACCUGCCCCCUUCUUCUGGCUAACCGCAUGAAAGUGUGGCUAAUACGGGAUAUUCUGGGUCUGUCGCAUGAUGGGUCUGGGAAAGAUAUUGUUUCGGUGGGGGAUGGGCUCGCGGCCUAUCAGCUUGUUGGUGGGGUGAUGGCCUACCAAGGCGGUGACGGGUAGCCGGCCUGGGAGGGUGGACGGUCACACUGGGACUGAGACACGGCCCCGACUCCUACGGGAGGCAGCAGUGAGGAAUAUUGCACGAUGGGCGGAAGCCUGAUGCAGCGACGCCGCGUGAGGGAUGGAGGCCUUCGGGUUGUGAACCUCUUUCGCCAGUGAAGCAGGGCUGCCUCGUUUGUGGGUGGGUUGACGGUAGCUGGAUAAGAAGCGCCGGCUAACUACGUG
This 494-nucleotide ribosomal RNA is filed under the name uncultured bacterium. RNAcentral's name for it is "partial 16S ribosomal RNA". It matches the Rfam family "Bacterial small subunit ribosomal RNA", at positions 28 to 507 of the family's 1533-position model. The record is from RNAcentral.